RNAcentral lists this long non-coding RNA (1854 nucleotides) under Octopus vulgaris (common octopus). The record is from RNAcentral. Lineage: Eukaryota; Metazoa; Mollusca; Cephalopoda; Octopoda; Octopodidae.
GUACGAUGCUCGCCAAACUCAGCUGAACGAUUACGAAACUUUGGUUAACACUAAAUCUCUAUAUUUUCCCAUCUUCUUGUUUAUAAAUGUCUUUCUUAAUUUUCUUUCUUCCGUUCACCAAUUCCUCUGCAACUAUUUCCGGCCAAGUUUUUCCUCUCAUGUUAAUCGACUUUAUCAACGAUAUAUAAAUGAAAAAGAAGUAAGUAUUUAUAGUGUUUAAAUUUCCAUUUUCUUUUAUAUUUUUCUUCCACUGCGGGUGGCAAUGGACAAAAAACCUUCCCACCCUUUUUAUACAUAACCAAGCACGACCAUUUCCUUAAUGUGAGCAAUCUUUCCUAUUUGCUAAUACUUUAACCGUUGAUAAAUUCACUUGGACGUCUCUCGAUUCGGGGCUUUGUUUCCUUGCUGGGAAUUUCUUUUCUAAUUCUAGUAUAGUUUCACCUAUGAGAAGUAAGCGAACAAUGUAAGUUCCCACGAGCAUCCAACCUUAAAAGUCCUCUGUUAUGGCUUGAUGGUCCAUAAUGAACAACAGGAGUCUGAUUCCCGGUGCACUGCCACCUUCUCGCUGUAUUUACAGCUAUAUUCUUUACUAACUGCACCUCUGUAUAUGGUUUGUGCAGCUCUCGUGAGGCAUCCUUUAUCUACUCCAAACUUCGUCAGUGACCACCAGAUCACAACCGUGAAACGUCGUCCAAGUUGUUCUCUAGGUCAACAAUGGCUUUGUAUAGGGGCUUAUUUCUAGUUGAUGUUACAACAGCAGUGUCACUAGGAGAUAGAAGUACUUCGUUCAUGUCCAAAAGUAAACUGUAUCUCGUUUAUGUUGUCCCAUGCUACAACUCCUCCGAUCUCCAUAACAUAAUUGUUUGAUGUGUGUCUAAUGUAUUCUCUUGCGUGCAUCGUUGUUGCUCUUGUAGGAUUUGGCAAUGAUGCUGGUACAUUACUUGAUGUGAAAUGUUCCUAUGCCUGUGAUUUGUCCAUACCAAACUCUGACACAUAUUUUAAGCAUGUCAACAUGUAUUAUUAUUUUGUAACGAUUAAAACCUUUAUUACUUGAAAGAGUUCCUCGCAGUCAUUUCCAUUCUUUCAGAAACUAGACUUAGCUUAAAUCGUUAGUAAUUUUGUGAGGACAGAUUUUUAAAAUCCAAUCUUCCAUCUAGAACAUCAACAAUUUGUCCAUUUCGUGGACAGUCCUUGAUGCCUCUUUAAUUACUGGUCGGUCAUAGCUACUAGUGGUCAUAAAUGAAGGACAAUCUGUAUAUGUUCAUGUACGAUAUCAUAAGUAUAUUUAUUUAUGAACUAUAAUAUAAAUGCACACAGACAACUAAAAGGGGUUUUUUUUUCAGGAAGAGCUUACAGCUAUAUGUUUUUCGUGUCAGUGACAUGUGAAAGACACCCAGUACAUUAUGUAAAGUAGUUGGUGUUAGGAAGGGCACUUAGCUGUAGAAACCAAGCCAAAAGAGAAAACUGGAACCUGGUGUCGCUCUCUGGCUUACCAGCUCUGGUCAAACCUAAUCCAUGCCAACUCAAUAUGUACUCUCUACUCUGUUAUGUCUUCAUGUAUAAAUGUAGUGAUGUGCAGAACCUCAGUUGUUUAGAUAAAUGUUUACUUCUACAGUUUAUAGAAAUUAAAUAAAAUUUCUGCUGUAGAAUCUCUACUAUUUCAGUAUUCUCCACACCUUAUACAGUUUCUCUUAUCUUUUCAGGGUACCAGCUCUCACUGACAUUAAAAGUUAUUUACAUCAUCGAUGCUUAUCUUUUUGAGACAGUGGAAAAUGUUAUACAGAACAAAUGUAACCAGGUUUCAUAUAAACCCGGUGAAUUAAGGUGAAAUGUUUCCUCUGGAUGAGAUUAUUA